CCUACGGGUGGCAGCAGUAGGGAAUCUUCGGCAAUGGACGCAAGUCUGACCGAGCAACGCCGCGUGAGUGAAGAAGGUUUUCGGAUCGUAAAACUCUGUUGUUAGAGAAGAACAAGGAUGAGAGUAACUGUUCAUCCCUUGACGGUAUCUAACCAGAAAGCCACGGCUAACUACGUGCCAGCCGCCCCGGUAAUACGUAGGUGGCAAGCGUUGUCCGGAAUCAUUGGGCGUAAAGCGAGCGCAGGCGGUUUUGUAAGGCUUAUGUGAAGGCCCCCGGCUCAACCGGGGAGGGUCAUUGGAAACUGGGAGACUUGAGUGCAGAGGAGGAGAGUGGAAUUCCAUGUGUAGCGGUGAAAUGCGUAGAUAUAUGGAGGAACACCAGUGGCGAAGGCGGCUCUCUGGUCUGUAACUGACGCUGAGGCUCGAAAGCGUGGGGAGCAAACAGGAUUAGAUACCCGUGUAGUC
This 465-nucleotide ribosomal RNA is filed under the name uncultured Enterococcus sp. RNAcentral describes it as "bacterial SSU rRNA". It matches the Rfam family "Bacterial small subunit ribosomal RNA", at positions 338 to 795 of the family's 1533-position model. The record is from RNAcentral. Lineage: Bacteria; Bacillati; Bacillota; Bacilli; Lactobacillales; Enterococcaceae.